UACGUAGGGUGCGAGCGUUAAUCGGAAUUACUGGGCGUAAAGCGUGCGCAGGCGGUUUUGUAAGCCAGAUGUGAAAUCCCUCGGCUUAACCGGGGAACUGCAUCUGAUACUGGAUGGCUUGAGUUCGGGAGAGGGAUGCGGAAUUCCAGGUGUAGCGGUGAAAUGCGUAGAUAUUACAAGGAACACCAAUGGCGAAGGCAGCUUGCUGGGCUACUCCUGACACUGAGGUACGAAAGCGUGGGGAGCGAACAGG
This 253-nucleotide ribosomal RNA is filed under the name uncultured bacterium. RNAcentral's name for it is "partial 16S ribosomal RNA". It matches the Rfam family "Bacterial small subunit ribosomal RNA", at positions 524 to 776 of the family's 1533-position model. The record is from RNAcentral.